This 296-nucleotide long non-coding RNA is filed under the name Homo sapiens (human). Its description in RNAcentral is "HSALNT0164239". Lineage: Eukaryota; Metazoa; Chordata; Mammalia; Primates; Hominidae. The record is from RNAcentral.
GCAGUUGUUCCGGAGGUUGGCGAUAUAAUCAUCUUCCACAUUCCGCUCGACUGUUUUGAGGCUGGAGCCUGUGUACUCUUCGGAGAAAGUGUCUCCCACAUAGUAGACGACACCCAGGUGGUCAGUGACUCGCCUGUGGAUGUGGCCCACGGACCUGGCCAGAAAUCUCACGGUCUUGGACUCAGACUGUAGGGUGGACUGGAGACCAUGAGCUGGCUGAGAGCUGACACGAGAAUCAGGAUGAGGAUAGGCAUCAGCUGCACAAACACCCCUAGCCCGCCCUGGAGGGAAGAGCC